Non-coding RNA from Arachis ipaensis, 1157 nucleotides. The record is from RefSeq and is a predicted model, not a curated record. NCBI's taxonomy places the organism in Eukaryota, Viridiplantae, Streptophyta, Magnoliopsida, Fabales, Fabaceae.
GUAAUAAGUAUCAUUCAUUUAAAAGUAGGUGUAUUUCCUGUAAAAGCUUCUAAAUUUGAAAGGAGAUGAUGGUUUCAGAAUGAAUGAAGUGCUUGUGUCAUUGUUGCCAAAGAUGUUCAUGGAAAUUCCUGAAAGUUUAGGCACAUCUAUAGAGGACUCCUUGCAGGCACCUAUUGACCACUGGAUGGAGCAAUUUUGUGAUCCAGAAGAAGCUUGUAGCUGGUGAUUCCAUUGUGUUCUUGAGAGCUAAGGAUGGUGAUCUGUGUGUUGGGAUACAGAGGGCCAAGAAGGUGGUAGUUGGAGGUGGCGAGGUGUCGGUGUCAUUGGUGGUUGAAGCUGUGAGUUGUGGUGUUAAUGGAAGGCCAUUUGAGGUUGUGUACUAUCCAAGGGGAAGCUCACCUGAGUUUUGUGUUAAGGCCUCAAUUGUGAGAGAUGCAAUGAAAGUGAGGUGGUAUUUUGGGAUGAGGUUCAAGAUGUCCUUUGAGACUGAGGAUUCUUCUAGAAUCAGUUAGUUCAUGGGAACCAUUUCUUCUGUUCAGCUUCUUGAUCCCAUUCAUUGGCCUAAUUCUCCAUGGCGUCUUCUACAGGUACAUCUUUUAAUUGCUAUUGUCAAAUUUCUAAUGAACCUAGAUUUGUUUCUUGGGUUAAUUUUGUCAUGAGAUAUUUCUUUACCUUAUUUAAUCAAAAGUAACUGCAGUGGUAACAACUCUUUUUUGGUUCUUUUUUCUAAUAAUUGCCUUAUUUGUUGUCUGAGUGUAAAUCGGAUAUAAUAAGGUAGACAUCCUCUGCUCAGAAAGUGGGAAGCAGCGAAUAAUUUACAUGUUCCUAAUGAGAGAUAGACUGCCUCAAUCGGAUAUACAUUCGGCGGCGGCAUGUUCGAGAUGAAUGAAGUGAAGGGUGGCAGUCCGUACGGUGCCCGAACUUAUGCUGGUGGUGAUGGAUCAAGACAACCAACUAAACUUGAGUUGGAGCAAGCAUUCCACCAAAGCAAGUAUAUUGCCACCAUCACUAAGAAGCUCAAGAAAGAAUGAAGCUAUCCAUAAAUUAGGAUAUUGAAUUCUGAUGAGUCCACUAGUUACUUAUCAUCUAAUGUAUUCAGAUUGUAUUAUUGCAUGGAAAUAAUUGCUUCUUAUUAUAAAGAAAGCAUUUUGUACUCA